RNAcentral lists this ribosomal RNA (440 nucleotides) under uncultured bacterium. Its description in RNAcentral is "bacterial SSU rRNA". It matches the Rfam family "Bacterial small subunit ribosomal RNA", at positions 30 to 507 of the family's 1533-position model. The record is from RNAcentral.
AUUGAACGCUGGCGGUAUGCUUAAGACAUGCAAGUCGAACGGUAACAGGUUAAGCUGACGAGUGGCGGACGAGUGAGUAACGCGUGGGAACGUGCCCUGAGGUACGGAAUAACUGCGGGAAACUGCAGCUAAUACCGUAUGAGCCCCGUGAGGGGGAAAGAUUUAUCGCCUUAGGAGCGGCCCGCGUCGGAUUAGCUAGUUGGUGGGGUAACGGCUUACCAAGGCUUCGAUCCGUAGCUGGUCUGAGAGGACGAUCAGCCACACUGGGACUGAGACACGGCCCAGACUCCUACGGGAGGCAGCAGUGGGGAAUCUUGCGCAAUGGGGGCAACCCUGACGCAGCCAUGCCGCGUGAAUGAUGAAGGCCUUAGGGUUGUAAAGUUCUUUUGCCCGUGACGAUGAUGACGGUAACGGGAGAAUAAGCUCCGGCUAACUUCGUG